CCGUAAUUCACCCUAAAAUAAAAUAAAUUAAAAAAAAAGAAAAAAGGUAGCGCUGCCAUUAAGCUAAGAAAUAUGCACUAGCGUAUAGAAGUGAUGGCAUUGAUUCUUUUGAGUUUUGGAUCUAAUUGAGGAAAUGGAAGAGUAUCCGGAGGAGUUACGGACUCCGCCGGUCACCCUGAUUGCGUUGGUGGGAUGUCCACAGCAUCACCCCCUCAUCUCCACCCAUCUCCACUCCGAGCAGCCCCCAAUCAACACCCUCGCCUUGCCUGACCUCUCUAAGAUCUCUCUUCUCUUGUCCUCCGCCGAUAAGAAUUCUCUUCCUCCUCCCGAUCCAUCCUCAAUUCCUACCGCUGGAAUUCUUAAGAGGGAUUGGCUUCUCAAGCACCGUACUAGGGUUCCCGCUGUUGUCGCCGCUCUCUUUAGUUCCGAUCAUGUCUCUGGGGAUCCCGCUCAGUGGCUUCAGCUUUGCACUGACCUUGAAAACCUCAAAGCUCUGAUUCGUCCAAAGAACAUCAAAUUGGUUGUGAUUGUGGUGCACUCUUCUUCCAUGGAUGAUAUCAGUGAAGAUGGAAUGAUUGCACUUUGUAAGCGUGCUGAAUUGGAUUCCAAGUGCCUUGUUAUCUUCAACCCUAGUGAUUCUUCACAGCUGAAACAAUCCCUCAACAAGUUGGGCAGCACAUUUGCUGAAUUAGCAAAUACAUAUUACAGAGAUGAAGGGCGGAGAAUUAAAACUCGUGUUGAAAAGAAGAGUUUCAAUUCUAAUGAGUUGAAUAUUCGCUAUUGCUUCAAAGUUGCUGUAUAUGCUGAGUUUCGGAGAGACUGGGUUGAAGCUUUGAGGUUUUAUGAGGAUGCAUAUCAUACACUGAGGGAGAUGAUUGGGACUGCAAAUAGGUUGCCAGUGAUUCAGCGAUUGGUUGAGAUAAAAACUGUUGCUGAGCAACUUCUAUUACUUUUCCACCAUGUAAUAACAAGGUUGAUAUUUUAAAAUGAAGUUGCUCAGCAACAGUUCCAACAUUUUGCUUCUUACAGGAAGCUUUUAGGAGCAGCAGAAGCUAUAUUUCUUCACUGGG
Molecule: unclassified non-coding RNA, 1070 nt
Filed under: Hevea brasiliensis (rubber tree)
Lineage: Eukaryota; Viridiplantae; Streptophyta; Magnoliopsida; Malpighiales; Euphorbiaceae
Source: RNAcentral